UCUACGGGGAGGCAGCAGUGGGAAUAUUGCACAAUGGGCGAAAGCCUGAUGCAGCGACGCCGCGUGAGGGAUGACGGCCUUCGGGUUGUAAACCUCUUUCAGCAGGGAAGAAGCGAAAGUGACGGUACCUGCAGAAGAAGCGCCGGCUAACUACGUGCCAGCAGCCGCGGUAAUACGUAGGGCGCAAGCGUUGUCCGGAAUUAUUGGGCGUAAAGAGCUCGUAGGCGGCUUGUCACGUCGGAUGUGAAAGCCCGGGGCUUAACCCCGGGUCUGCAUUCGAUACGGGCAGGCUAGAGUUCGGUAGGGGAGAUCGGAAUUCCUGGUGUAGCGGUGAAAUGCGCAGAUAUCAGGAGGAACACCGGUGGCGAAGGCGGAUCUCUGGGCCGAUACUGACGCUGAGGAGCGAAAGCGUGGGGAGCGAACAGGAUUAGAUACCCUGGUAGUCCACGCCGUAAACGGUGGGCACUAGGUGUGGGCAACAUUCCACGUUGUCCGUGCCGCAGCUAACGCAUUAAG
RNAcentral lists this ribosomal RNA (516 nucleotides) under Streptomyces rubrogriseus. Its description in RNAcentral is "bacterial SSU rRNA". It matches the Rfam family "Bacterial small subunit ribosomal RNA", at positions 337 to 864 of the family's 1533-position model. The record is from RNAcentral. Lineage: Bacteria; Bacillati; Actinomycetota; Actinomycetes; Kitasatosporales; Streptomycetaceae.